GGGUAAGUAGGUUGGUCGUGCCACCGGUACGUACUGGUCUCACUGAUUCCUCCUUCCUGAAGAACCGUAAUGCCAUUAAUUUGGUGUUGCGGGGAAACAGGACUGUUACUUUGAAAAAAUUAGAGUGUUUAAAGCAAGCUAACGCUUGAAUACAUUAGCAUGGAAUAAUGAAAUAGGACGAUCGAUCCUAUUUUGUUGGUUUCUGGGAUUGACGUA
This 216-nucleotide ribosomal RNA is filed under the name Glomeromycotina sp. RNAcentral describes it as "partial small subunit ribosomal RNA". The stretch from base 40 to 216 matches the Rfam family "Eukaryotic small subunit ribosomal RNA", at positions 686 to 864 of the family's 1831-position model. Lineage: Eukaryota; Fungi; Glomeromycota. The record is from RNAcentral.